Molecule: ribosomal RNA, 500 nt
Filed under: uncultured bacterium
Lineage: Bacteria
Description: partial 16S ribosomal RNA
Rfam family: Bacterial small subunit ribosomal RNA
Source: RNAcentral
AUUGAACGCUGGCGGCAUGCUUUACACAUGCAAGUCGAACGGUAACAGGGUGCUUGCACCGCUGACGAGUGGCGAACGGGUGAGUAAUGCGUCGGAACGUGCCGAGUAGUGGGGGAUAACGCAGCGAAAGUUGUGCUAAUACCGCAUACGUACUGAGGUAGAAAGUGGGGGACCUUCGGGCCUCACGCUAUUCGAGCGGCCGACGUCUGAUUAGCUAGUAGGUGAGGUAAAGGCUCACCUAGGCGACGAUCAGUAGCGGGUCUGAGAGGAUGAUCCGCCACACUGGGACUGAGACACGGCCCAGAAGCCUACGGGAGGCAGCAGUGGGGAAUUUUGGACAAUGGGCGAAAGCCUGAUCCAGCCAUGCCGCGUGUCUGAAGAAGGCCUUCGGGUUGUAAAGGACUUUUGUCAGGGAGGAAAUCCCUAGUGCUAAUAACACUGGGGGAUGACAGUACCUGAAGAAUAAGCACCGGCUAACUACGUGCCAGCAGCCGCAGUAA